ACUCCACACUAUCUUAUCUCUCUGCAGCGGUUAAACCAAUCAACAGUAAACCAAUCAAUCAAUCAGUUAAAGCCUCAUGAUUAGUUACUAAUUAACGCCAGUCAUUAGCUACAUCACUGUAACAUAUAAACCUCAGUUAAUAAAUGUCUUAUUACAUAUUUAUUACAUAAUUAUAGUACGUCAUUAACUAUAUUAAUACGUAACUAUAUUAAUACGUAGCUAACCCCUAACUUAACUAACUCCCCACUCACAAUAAAUAAAUCAAUAAAUCAAUAAAUCAGCGUUUAGACCGGCUCUUACACCUCUCGCUUUGGCUAAAAUAAAGCGUAAAUGAAUAAAUGUAAAUGUAAUACAUACUGUUAUACUUCACCGUGAUCAGACUAUGAUGUUAUUUUAAUAAAGAGCAGUUUAGGAGAACUCUUCCGGUUUGAGAAAGAACCCUUUUAGGAACUCUUAACUAUCCGGACGAACCCUUGACACGUGGAAGUGUGUGAAAUAUUAAAGAGCAUUACAUCAGCAGCUGUAUAUCGUUUAUCAUCACGUCAGAAAUGGAUUAAUCAAUACAUCAUAGUGCUCAUGUGUAAAAGAUGGAUAUUUAUGAUCCGAUGUUCACGUGUACAGUGGAGUCAAAAUGUUCCUCCUGCAUGCUGUAGAACCUGGAUACAGUUCUGCUCCAGGCUUAAAACCCUCAACCUCCAUCACGCUUUAAUCUGAAAAGAGCUCCGUUACUGAAUACGUCGCUUUCUUUAACAACAUACACGUUUUUUUUCCUUGUAACAUUUUUACAGAAUAUUAUUAAUGAAAAUGUAAAACUCUCUGUUCUGGUGAUGCGUUAAUGAAGAAUACUGUAAUUUAAAGAAAACAUCUGAAACAAAAUUUGGAUAAAAAACUAAAGGGGUCAAAACUUUUGCACAAAACAGUACAUCCAUGUGUAAUAUUAUACAAGUAAGUAAUAAAUACUGUGUGUGUGUGUGUGUGUGUGUGUGUGUUACAGUGUGUGUGAUGAAGCGGAGUUACUGUAACCACCCAGAAGUUGAUUAUUUUCCUCUAACAGCACGUCCCCGAGUGUUUUAUUCCUCUUACACCACAGCGAUUUACCAACAGUUACAAUUUCUUAUUUAUUAAAGAACGACAAAUUUUUAAUCCAGUUAAUAUUGUUGUGUUUCAUCUCUGAAAUGAGUUAGUUCCUGUUGUCACUUACGUUAUAGCAGCUGUAAACACUCGUUUCCUCACUAGAGUCUCUUUUUUCUCUCUUGAAGUUAAUAAGAAAAAUAAAAUCGCAGCUUGUUGCGCAUGUUACUGAGAAACCGCAAAGAAGCGUAAACUCCUCUGUCCUGAAGACGUCGGAAAACUUAAAGUUACAGCUUUACCUCUGACUGUUACAAAGCGCUGACACUGGAGACUCCUUCCAUCAAUGUUACAUAAACAUCUCCAUACAGAAAAUUUCACCAUCUGACCAAUUUUUACUGUACUGUAAAUGAUCUGUUGCUAUAGAAACGAUAAAGUCUUACUGCAAGAGCAUUAAUAUAAACCUGUGAUUUGCAGCUGCACUACUGUCAGAGCUGCUGUUCUAGAGAAUUCAUCAACCCCUUCUGACCAAUCACAAUCCAGAAUUCAGCAGCAGAGUGGUGUAGUAUAUAUUUUAUUUUAUUUAUGUCGAGAAUGUCGAAUGUAGAAGUUAAAACCGACAAACUAAAGGAAGAGGGUGGAACUUAUGAGCUCCCUUUUGUCAAAUAUUUACACACUUAUGUCACACACACACACACACACACACACACACACACGUACACACACGUACACACACGUACACACACCUUUGUAAACAGAGAACAGUCACGUAGAUUCAUCGUUCAAGUCUGAAAACACACGAUUCCUUAAAACUAUUUUAUAAGAGCUUAAUUUACAGCUGUACAUGUUGUCCAUGUGGUGGUUCUGUCCUAAACACAGGCUAUGAGAAGGUUCCCUACUGAGUGUGAUACUGGCGUUAAAGGGUGCGAGGGCAGAUCUGAGACGUAGAAUCAGGACACAGCCUGUUUGUGUUCAUUAGAGAAACACUAAACACUGACUUCGGGUUUUAUUUCUGAACUGCGGAGGAAGCCCAGCUCCUGAACCUCAGAACUGACCCAAGAUCUGAAAAGCCUGAUACACGGCACCUCACAGAAAGGAAAGCUGUUUGCUCCAGACUGGACCGUGUUCCUCGGGGCCUCGUCGGGAAGUGGAAAGUUUACGGGCGUAUUUGGGACGCAGCCUGACAGGAAACGUGUUCAGAAGGACAGCAGUGUUCUAACAGGGUUUAUUUUUAAAUGAUUAUAUAAUCAGUUAUCUGCAGGUUUUUCAGAGCCUUGAAUACACAAGAGUUUAAUGUUUUAUACAUUUAAAUAUUUAAUAUUGAUUUAUUUCACAAUGUCUUUUUUAGACAAUAAUAAAAAAAUUAAAAUGAUAUAGUUAAAUAAUAAUUAAAUAAUAUAGUGUAGUGCUUUUUAUUUGAUACAUAAAAACAAAACAUACGGUCUAUAUCAAAUAUAUUAAAAUGAUUUCAAUUUAAUUCUAUUUUUUAUUCAGUUAUAAAAUAUAUAAAUAUAUAAAUUCAUAAUAGUAGUGCAGUUAUAUGGAGCUUUUUACGUACAUUUUUAUUACACACACACACACACACACACACACACACACACACACACACACAAUUAGAAUCUUCUUGGCUUGCUUCAGAAGUCCAGCUGGACUUUGUUCCUCGCUGCGUGUCUUUUCAGGUCAGAUCAAUAUCUCAGUGGGUGUUUGUCAAUUUUCUUAUUGAUCGAAAUAAUAUUUAUUUGUUUGGCAACAGUUAUUUAUUUCACCUUUAGACGAGCAGCGGCGUCGUGUCUGAAUAACUGCAGAGUGUUGGGCUGUGUCCCAAACGCCCGCGUGUGAUAUAAAAAGCACAGAACUCUUAUUAGAGCGAUGUUUACUCUGAGUCACACACAGCUGAUGUAGCUCGCUGGCUAAUGUGCUACCACAGGGGGCAAAACACUUUCUGUUAAAAAGUGAGAAGAACAGAAGAAGUGUUUGAGUCUGAGAAUUAAAAUUAACACUCACCAGACACGAACUCAGAGUGACAGCGUUUAUAUUUAACACCAAAUCAGAACUUUAGUUUUAUAAUAAUUUUGAAGAUUUUAUUGUAUUCUAUCACUUUCAUUAUCUUGUAGGAGGAAGUCAGAUUAAAAUAAAUGAAUGAGACAAAAGCUUAUAACAAUCUCUCUCUCUCUCACUCUCUCUCUCUCUCUCUCUCGAGCUACACCUUCUACUCCUGAGAUGCCAGUGAUCCUGAUCCCUUCUGCUCUCCGGACCUACCUGAUCCAUCCUGAUGCCCUACUUCUGGUUGGAGUUCUCAUCAUUUGGAGAUCACUUGCUGCUGCUGGGGCCCCUUAUGGACAGCCUGGUGCCACCUGGGGGCCGUGGAGAUGGUGCUGCUUGGGGAUCUCAUAUGGGGAGCUGUACUGUACUGUACUGUAAUGGCUUGGGACUGUGAUUGUUGUAGUGGCUUUGGUUGCACAAUUGCACUAUUUGUCCAUAUAGUACACAGUUAUAGAAAGGAAUGAUUUAUAAUCGCACUAUCGGGUGUCACCCAGAUGAAGAUGGUUCCCUUUUGAGUCUGGUUCCUCUCAAGGUUUUUUCCUCAUAUCAUCUCAGGGAGUUUUUCUUCUCCACCGUCACCUCUGGCUUCCUCAUUAGGGAUAAAUUCAUACAUUUAAAAUUUAUAUCCUGAAUCCAUUUAUUUCUGUAAAACUGCAUUGUGAUAAUGUCCAUUGUUAAAAGUGCUACACAAAUAAAAUUGAAUUGAAUUGAAUUGAA
Pangasianodon hypophthalmus (striped catfish) is the source of this 3828-nucleotide long non-coding RNA. RefSeq lists it as uncharacterized. The transcript has 2 exons. NCBI's taxonomy places the organism in Eukaryota, Metazoa, Chordata, Actinopteri, Siluriformes, Pangasiidae. The record is from RefSeq and is a predicted model, not a curated record.